AAUAGAUGAUGCCGUUGACUUUUUCUUACAUGUUUGACCAUUUGUUUUAUUAAAAAGAUUUACGUAAUUAUAAUUUAUUUUGUUAUAAGUUGUUUUAUUACUCAUAGUACUUUAAGUGUAAUUUAUAUCUUAUACAUUUACAUAAUUUUUUUAAUAAGACGAAUGGUCAAACAUGUGAGAAAAAGUUGACGGCGUCAUCUAUU
Molecule: microRNA precursor, 203 nt
Filed under: Oryza glumipatula
Lineage: Eukaryota; Viridiplantae; Streptophyta; Magnoliopsida; Poales; Poaceae
Description: MIR812 microRNA precursor family
Rfam family: MIR812 microRNA precursor family
Source: Rfam by way of RNAcentral